Long non-coding RNA from Zea mays, 1247 nucleotides. RefSeq lists it as uncharacterized. The record is from RefSeq and is a predicted model, not a curated record. Lineage: Eukaryota; Viridiplantae; Streptophyta; Magnoliopsida; Poales; Poaceae. The transcript is spliced from 3 exons.
GCCAACCUCUGAAUUGCAUGAAUGAAGACAGCUCUGAAAACUAAAUAACAGGCCACGCUUUGCAUACCACUACCAGAGGAUCAGAUACGGUAACAAGGAAGCAUUGUGUUGGGCACACUUAAGUGUGCGUCUCAGAUUAUAAGCUGGCUACUCAGCAGUGUGGAGUGGCAACUGGCAACUGGCAACCAUAAUGACAAAAAUGGAAGGCUCAACUGGCAGUGUCCAAAUCAUGUCUAGGCGUUUGGUCCAGCCAGAGUCAGGAAGCUCACUGGACAUGGUGCCAUCAGAGCUAGAGAUUGUUCACCUGACUGCAUGGGAUCUCGCUCUGUUCACGGUGGGCCACAUCCAGAAGGGGAUCCUCUUGCCCAAGGCUGGGACAGGAGGUGCACAACUCGUCGAUGACCUUGCUUCGUCCUUCGCCAGUGUGCUGGGCCAUUUUUAUCCACUGGCUGGCUGUCUCACUGCCUCAGAGAUCACAAAUGGUGUAGUAAGUCCAAGCCUUGCCAUCACUCUAUGCUGCAAUGACAAAUGCACCAAAUUCAUUCAUGCCAUGGCCCCUGAGGUCACUAUCAGUCGUGUUGUCCUUCCUGCUGAACAGGCUGCUGAAUGUGGAAGCACGCAUGGGCUCCAUCCCUGUGCUGGCCACGUAGGUCAGCGAGCUCGCAGAUGUCAUCUUCACUUCCAUGCUGUUGCUGCUCAACUAUGGCCAUAUGGAGCUGCAUUCUGGCUCUUCUUAAACACCUGAUGAAUUAUUGCUGUCGCACUGGGGCUCGGACGAGAACACACUUGGCUCCUACACGUUCGAUGGGGGCGAACAAACCCCGUGACCUGUACGAGAAGUUGUGCAUCCCCGUGGACAACAUGUUCUUCGCGGGAGAGGCCAUGAGUGUCAAGUACACAGGCACGGUGCAUAACACCUUCUCCGUUGGUGUCGUGGCAGCCGAUGAGUGAAAGAUGCGGGUUCUCGAGCGGUUCAGGGAGCUUGACAUGCUGGAGAUAUGCUACCCUGCCAUGGGCGAGGACAUCCCUAUAUCUGUCACGUUGCUCAUCUCUCGGCUCAUGACUUUUGGAGAGCCUCGGAUAGGCUAUCCUGCUUUUGUUGCAUACUUUGGUGAACAAGUCCCAAGAACAAUAUGUGUGACCCAUCAGAAUGAUAUUGUGUCGUAUUUACCACUGUAUUAUUAUUACCUAGGUGAAUGGACAUAUCACCACUUUGCUAGAGAGGUUUGAUGAUUGUCGAAAAGAAU